UGUCUUCGGGGCGGGGUGAAAUUCCCCACCGGCGGUAAUGCGGUUUAACCGACAAGCCCGCGCGCGAAAGCUGAUUUGGUGUGAUUCCAAAGCCGACGGUAUAGUCCGGAUGGAAGAAGAA
Molecule: non-coding RNA, 121 nt
Filed under: Hydrogeniiclostridium mannosilyticum
Lineage: Bacteria; Bacillati; Bacillota; Clostridia; Eubacteriales; Acutalibacteraceae
Description: FMN riboswitch (RFN element)
Rfam family: FMN riboswitch aptamer (RFN element)
About the family: The RFN element is a highly conserved domain that is found frequently in the 5'-untranslated regions of prokaryotic mRNAs that encode for flavin mononucleotide (FMN) biosynthesis and transport proteins. This element is a metabolite-dependent riboswitch that directly binds FMN in the absence of proteins. In Bacillus subtilis, the riboswitch most likely controls gene expression by causing premature transcription termination within the 5' untranslated region of the ribDEAHT operon and precluding access to the ribosome-binding site of ypaA mRNA.
Source: RNAcentral